CAGCGCCACGGUAAUACGGAGGGUGCGAGCGUUAAUCGGAAUUACUGGGCGUAAAGCGUACGCAGGCGGUUUGUUAAGUCAGAUGUGAAAUCCCCGAGCUUAACUCGGGAACUGCAUUUGAAACUGGCAGGCUAGAGUCUCGUAGAGGGGGGUAGAAUUCAGGUGUAGCGGUGAAAUGCGUAGAGAUCUGGAGGAAUACCGGUGGCGAAGGCGGCCCCCUGGACGAAGACUGACGCUCAGGUACGAAAGCGUGGGGAGCAAACAGGAUUAGAUACCCCGGUAGUCCAUGUCUCUUAUACAA
RNAcentral lists this ribosomal RNA (301 nucleotides) under uncultured bacterium. RNAcentral's name for it is "partial 16S ribosomal RNA". It matches the Rfam family "Bacterial small subunit ribosomal RNA", at positions 509 to 809 of the family's 1533-position model. The record is from RNAcentral.